CUCUCCCAUCCUUAUUACUACAACUACUACUAAAUUGUUCUGAGAUAUACAGGGUGUUUACAAAAGGCAUUGUUCCUUUUAUGUUGUUACUUUCCUACUCACAUUGGCAAUACCGCUGCCACGACAACGGAGGGGAGCGCGCGACCAGGUAAUCCCGUGCAGCUCGAUCAAAAAAAGACGACGACAUUCACUUUUUCACGUGCACGACUCGACGGCAGAAUGUAACGCCAUCACCUUUUCCUUUUUUUUAACUGUAUUUACAUUUUAACGUGUUUGGCAAUAAAUAUUUGUUUAUGUACGUGAAAUUCUAAUCAUUUGCACGCCACACACUACAUAUAUUGAUCCUUCGUCGCUGGAUUGCCUACUAUUUGCCGUUUUACAAACCACUUUGGGUUUUUUUACACGGAGCUUGACCCCAUUACGCUGCAAUUUUCGCUGCAAGGAAAGGAAAUACCGGCCCGCAAGAAGCAAGAGUUUCUGGAAGUUCGCCGCUGUUCACUGCAAAUAAAGAGCCUAUUCUGGAGGUAAAAGAUGAACAAUAUAAUGCGGAGCAAGGAGACGUACGCGCACAAGGGAGAAUUAAAACGGAUAGGAUUAAAAAUGAGUUGUAUUUACAUAAUACAUAUUAGAUUAAAUUUUUUCUAUUAUGUAAAUAAAUACAUAUUUGCAUUUGCUUAUUUAAAAAUAUA
This is a long non-coding RNA of Anthonomus grandis grandis, 689 nucleotides long. RefSeq lists it as uncharacterized. The transcript is spliced from 2 exons. NCBI's taxonomy places the organism in Eukaryota, Metazoa, Arthropoda, Insecta, Coleoptera, Curculionidae. The record is from RefSeq and is a predicted model, not a curated record.